UAAUGACGGCAGAACGCAGCGAUAAUAGCUAACAUUUAUCAGGUGUCUGUUUGCAUUGGGCAUGCUGCUGAGUGCGUUACACAGGUUAUCUCAUUUAUUCUUCAAAACGACUCUGUGAAGUCGGAGUCAUUUUCCCCAUUUUGCCAAGAAGGAAACAGGACUUCGGAGAAGUAACUUGCCCAAAGCUGCAGAGCGCCCGCGUGGAGUUCCUACUUACUACCACAACAACGGUCAACAGCAUUUAAAGACAUUUCCAAAAAUCCUCCAUACCGCAUCACCCUAACUCAGACUGCUGACUACAACCAGAAGAAAAGGAGAAAGGGCAAAGGAGAGCGACACCACCACAAAUUCAUGGUCGUCCCUCAGCCAGGUUUUGAACACUCAGCAGUCCUUCCCCUCAUCACUGGGUGGUUAUCAACUCUUAUCAAGUCUUCUACAUCAUUCCCACCACCCGAGUCCACCCCAGCCCCAGCCAUCACUUUAAUGACCAUAUAAUAAUCCACAGUAUGGAUGUAUCACGACUUAUUCAAACAGUCCUUAUUGUUGGACAAUUAGGUUUGGUAGGAAAAAGUACAUACAUGAAUGGGAAACACCAUCAUGUGGAGAAAACAAAAACAAAAGCAUUAUUCAAGACCAUGAGUUAACGUGAAUAGUAUUAUUUGAGGCAGGUAGGAUGGGGCUGGGGUUCUGGUAGAUGUUCACGGGUCAUGAGAUUCAUGGCAGAGUGAACUUCACAGAGGUCCAUGAACCCAGCCAGGAGGCAACAUUUUGUACACAUCUGUGAAUGUUCUGGAGUGGGUCCAUGGCUUUCAUCAGCUGUGCCGAGGGGGCCUCCCCAAAAGUGAAAGGCCACUAAUCUGGUCUACACUUUGUAACAUAAGCACUGAUCAGAAGGGCCCAGACAAUUUAUUUAAAAGAUCAGUGAAGUAAAAAUGUGAGUUUAAGUCCCACAGAGACCCAGGGUCAAAUCCCUGCUCUUCAGUUUCAUUUGUAUACCUUUGAAUAAGUUACUAAAAUUUUUGAACCUUUAAAAUAGGAAUUUAGUGGCACCUGGGUGGCUCAGUGGGUAGAGCAUGCAACUCUUGAUCUUGG
RNAcentral lists this long non-coding RNA (1092 nucleotides) under Ursus thibetanus thibetanus. Its description in RNAcentral is "lncRNA (ENSUTTG00000010615.1)". Lineage: Eukaryota; Metazoa; Chordata; Mammalia; Carnivora; Ursidae. The record is from RNAcentral.